Molecule: long non-coding RNA, 368 nt
Organism: Epinephelus fuscoguttatus (brown-marbled grouper)
Lineage: Eukaryota; Metazoa; Chordata; Actinopteri; Perciformes; Serranidae
Exons: 3
Source: RefSeq, a predicted model, not a curated record
GCAGAACGGGAGAGAAGACUACAGGUGUUUUUGAGAGCUUUCAGUCUGUUUUUUGGUGUUCCAGGUUCUAGUUCUUCAGUUUAAGAGGGAUGUGUGCAUCCAUAUGUCCUAAACCACACACACAACCACAACUAGAAGCCCUGUAAGAACCAACCAAGUAGAAAAUAAAGAAAAGAACUCUCGCUGCAACCCACAGCUUGGUUAUUGAGACCCACCAGAGCCCUGAUCGGACUCUCCACAGCGAUUCGUGCUCUCCAACCACCCUACAUCUUAAAUCUAUUUUUCAUGAGGUCUCCUCCUCUGCAAAGCAAACUGACCUGGUGGCUACAGGCUGCCAGGAGAAGCGGACUGGCCGUCAGAUAUUGUUU